AUUGAACGCUGGCGGCAGGCCUAACACAUGCAAGUCGAGCGGAGCGGCGGACGGGUGAGUAAUACCUAGGAAUUGGCCUGGUAGUGGGGGAUAAAGUUCGGAAACGGACGCUAAUACCGCAGAAUAUCAGAUGAGCAUAGGUCGGAUUAGCUAGUUGGUGAGUUAAUGGCUCACCAAGGCGACGACCCGUAACUGGUCUGAGAGGAUGAUCAGUCAAACGGGAACUGAGACACGGUCCAGACUCCUACGGGAGGCAGCAGUGGGGAAUAUUGGACAAGGGGCGAAAGCCUGAUCCAGCCAUGCCGCGUGUGUGAAGAAGGUCUUCGGAUUGUAAAGCACUUUAAGUUGGGAGGCGUUACCGACAGAAUAAGCACCGGCUAACUCUGUGCCAGCAGCCGCGGUAAUUC
Molecule: ribosomal RNA, 407 nt
Filed under: uncultured bacterium
Lineage: Bacteria
Description: partial 16S ribosomal RNA
Rfam family: Bacterial small subunit ribosomal RNA
Source: RNAcentral